CUUUAGGGGGACACAAAGAUGAAGUCUCUGGCGGAGCAGCUCAGACUGUGCUGUCGAGCCAACCUUCAAAACUACCGCUGUUUUUCCAGUAAUUCACCAGUCUUCUGUCAGCCAGCUUAGAGCAGGGGAGCGAGACCACCACAGAGUAACAGUAAUGUCGAACUGUGCGUGGUGAAGACAGAUUGGGAGCAUCAAUCACUGUCAAACCAGUUUCGCUUCACACCCUCCCUGAAGGCAGACCAUGUCGGUCGACAGCUCGAGACCACCAUAGCAGUGAUUGAUUAUAAGAUCACAGGACUCGUGAAAGUAUUGUGUGUACAGGUACUUGUGUGUGUGUGUGUGUGUGUGUGUGUGUGUAUGUGUGUGUGUACUUUGCAAAUUGCUGUAAUUGUGGCUACUCGUGGA
This is a long non-coding RNA of Cyprinus carpio carpio, 405 nucleotides long. The record is from Ensembl. NCBI's taxonomy places the organism in Eukaryota, Metazoa, Chordata, Actinopteri, Cypriniformes, Cyprinidae.